GCAACUCGGCUGCAUGAAGCUGGAAUCGCUAGUAAUCGCGGAUCAGAACGCCGCGGUGAAUGCGUUCCCGGGUCUUGUACACACCGCCCGUCACACCAUGGGAGCCGGAAACGCCCGAAGCCAGCGGCCUAACCGCAAGGAGGGAGCUGUCGAAGGCGGGGCCGGUGACCGGGGUGAAGUCGUAACAAGGUACC
RNAcentral lists this ribosomal RNA (194 nucleotides) under uncultured bacterium. Its description in RNAcentral is "partial 16S ribosomal RNA". It matches the Rfam family "Bacterial small subunit ribosomal RNA", at positions 1307 to 1500 of the family's 1533-position model. The record is from RNAcentral.